This 576-nucleotide ribosomal RNA is filed under the name uncultured bacterium. Its description in RNAcentral is "bacterial SSU rRNA". It matches the Rfam family "Bacterial small subunit ribosomal RNA", at positions 69 to 626 of the family's 1533-position model. The record is from RNAcentral.
CCGGAGCUUGCUCCACCGGGAAAAGAGGAGUGGCGAACGGGUGAGUAACACGUGGGUAACCUGCCCAUCAGAAGGGGAUAACACUUGGAAACAGGUGCUAAUACCGUAUAACAAUCGAAACCGCAUGGUUUCGUUUUGAAAGGCGCUUUACGGUGCCGCUGAUGGAUGGACCCGCGGUGCAUUAGCUAGUUGGUGAGGUAACGGCUCACCAAGGCCACGAUGCAUAGCCGACCUGAGAGGGUGAUCGGCCACAUUGGGACUGAGACACGGCCCAAACUCCUACGGGAGGCAGCAGUAGGGAAUCUUCGGCAAUGGACGAAAGUCUGACCGAGCAACGCCGCGUGAGUGAAGAAGGUUUUCGGAUCGUAAAACUCUGUUGUUAGAGAAGAACAAGGGUGAGAGUAACUGUUCACCCCUUGACGGUAUCUAACCAGAAAGCCACGGCUAACUACGUGCCAGCGAGCCGCGGUAAUACGUAGGUGGCAAGCGUUGUCCGGAUUUAUUGGGCGUAAAGCGAGCGCAGGCGGUUUCUUAAGUCUGAUGUGAAAGCCCCCGGCUCAACCGGGGGAGGGUCAU